This 334-nucleotide unclassified non-coding RNA is filed under the name soil metagenome. Its description in RNAcentral is "partial contains 5.8S ribosomal RNA, internal transcribed spacer 2, and large subunit ribosomal RNA". The stretch from base 1 to 120 matches the Rfam family "5.8S ribosomal RNA", at positions 35 to 154 of the family's 154-position model. The record is from RNAcentral.
GAUGAAGAACGUAGCGAAAUGCGAUAAGUAGUGUGAAUUGCAGAAUUCAGUGAAUCAUCGAAUCUUUGAACGCACAUUGCGCCCCUUGGUAUUCCAUGGGGCAUGCCUGUUCGAGCGUCAUUUGUACCUUCAAGCUUUGCUUGGUGUUGGGUGUUUGUCCAUUCUCUUGCAGAGGGACUCGCCUUAAAGUAAUUGGCAGCCAGUGUUUUGGUUUUGAAGCGCAGCACAAGUCGUGAUUCAACGCUAUACGCCAGCUUCCACAAGCCUUUUUCACUUUUGACCUCGGAUCAGGUAGGGAUACCCGCUGAACUUAAGCAUAUCAAUAAGCGGAGGA